Molecule: transfer RNA, 82 nt
Filed under: Schistosoma mattheei
Lineage: Eukaryota; Metazoa; Platyhelminthes; Trematoda; Strigeidida; Schistosomatidae
Rfam family: tRNA
About the family: Transfer RNA (tRNA) molecules are approximately 80 nucleotides in length.
Source: Rfam by way of RNAcentral
AACGGGGUGGCCGAGUGGUUAAGGCAAUGGAUUGCUAAUCCAUUGGGGUUUCCCCGCGUGGGUUCGAAUCCCAUCCCCGUCG